AACGAACGCUGGCGGCAGGCUUAACACAUGCAAGUCGAACGCACAUUUCGGGGUGAGUGGCAGACGGGGGAGUAACGCGUGGGAAUCUACCCUUCUCUACGGGAUAGCUCCGGGAAACUGGAAUUAAUACCGUAUACGUCCUGAGGGAGAAAGAUUUAUCGGGGAAGGAUGAGCCCGCGUUGGAUUAGCUAGUUGGUGGGGUAAAGGCCUACCAAGGCGACGAUCCAUAGCUGGUCUAAGAGGAUGAUCAGCCACAUUGGGACUGAGACACGGCCCAAACUCCUACGGGAGGCAGCAGUGGGGAAUAUUGGACAAUGGGCGCAAGCCUGAUCCAGCCAUGCCGCGUGAGUGAUGAAGGCCCUAGGGUUGUAAAGCUCUUUCAGUGGGGACGAUAAUGACGGUACCCACAGAAGAAGCCCCGGCUAACUUCGUG
Molecule: ribosomal RNA, 433 nt
Filed under: uncultured bacterium
Lineage: Bacteria
Description: partial 16S ribosomal RNA
Rfam family: Bacterial small subunit ribosomal RNA
Source: RNAcentral